GCCUGCGAAGGUGUACUGUGAGGUAUGCUGGAGGUAUCAGAAGUGCGAAUGCUGACAUAAGUAACGAUAAAGCGGGUGAAAAGCCCGCUCGCCGGAAGACCAAGGGUUCCUGUCCAACGUUAAUCGGGGCAGGGUGAGUCGACCCCUAAGGCGAGGCCGAAAGGCGUAGUCGAUGGGAAACAGGUUAAUAUUCCUGUACUUGGUGUUACUGCGAAGGGGGGACGGAGAAGGCUAUGUUGGCCGGGCGACGGUUGUCCCGGUUUAAGCGUGUAGGCUGGUUUUCCAGGCAAAUCCGGAAAAUCAAGGCUGAGGCGUGAUGACGAGGCACUACGGUGCUGAAGCAACAAAUGCCCUGCUUCCAGGAAAAGCCUCUAAGCAUCAGGUAACAUCAAAUCGUACCCCAAACCGACACAGGUGGUCAGGUAGAGAAUACCAAGGCGCUUGAGAGAACUCGGGUGAAGGAACUAGGCAAAAUGGUGCCGUAACU
Molecule: ribosomal RNA, 487 nt
Filed under: Escherichia coli
Lineage: Bacteria; Pseudomonadati; Pseudomonadota; Gammaproteobacteria; Enterobacterales; Enterobacteriaceae
Description: partial 23S ribosomal RNA
Rfam family: Bacterial large subunit ribosomal RNA
Source: RNAcentral